Molecule: ribosomal RNA, 700 nt
Filed under: uncultured fungus
Lineage: Eukaryota; Fungi
Description: eukaryotic LSU rRNA
Rfam family: Eukaryotic large subunit ribosomal RNA
Source: RNAcentral
CGGCGAGUGAAGCGGCAAGAGCUCAAAUUUGAAAGCUGGCCCCUUCGGGGUCCGCAUUGUAAUUUGCAGAGGAUGCUUCGGGAGCGGCCCCCAUCUAAGUGCCCUGGAACGGGCCGUCAUAGAGGGUGAGAAUCCCGUCUGGGAUGGGGUGCCCGCGCCCGUGUGAAGCUCCUUCGACGAGUCGAGUUGUUUGGGAAUGCAGCUCUAAAUGGGUGGUAAAUUUCAUCUAAAGCUAAAUACUGGCCGGAGACCGAUAGCGCACAAGUAGAGUGAUCGAAAGAUGAAAAGCACUUUGAAAAGAGAGUUAAACAGCACGUGAAAUUGUUGAAAGGGAAGCGCUUGCGACCAGACUCGCUCGCGGGGUUCAGCCGGCCUUCGGGCCGGUGUACUUCCCCGCGGGCGGGCCAGCGUCGGUUUGGGCGGCCGGUCAAAGGCCCUCGGAAUGUAACGCCCCCCGGGGCGUCUUAUAGCCGAGGGUGCCAUGCGGCCAGCCCGGACCGAGGAACGCGCUUCGGCUCGGACGCUGGCAUAAUGGUCGUAAGCGACCCGUCUUGAAACACGGACCAAGGAGUCUAACAUCUACGCGAGUGUUCGGGUGUCAAACCCGUGCGCGCAGUGAAAGCGAACGGAGGUGGGAACCCCUCGGGGUGCACCAUCGACCGAUCCUGAUGUCUUCGGAUGGAUUUGAGUAAGAGCGUAG